UGUCUUCAUACAGACAAUGAGAAUCUGCUGACAAAAUGAGGAACCAAUGAUGUCCAAGCGUCAACUCUGCAGAGAAGAUGGAAGAAGACCUGGCGUCUGGACCAGAUGAAGAAAAAAAGAAGAGACAGCAGUGAAGACGUCUCCUAGAUCCCUGGAAACUGGCAAUCUCUCUGUCAAGUCUGGGACAUCGCUGCAAGCAAAUCUACAAGAUCGGAGAAAACGCAGCACAGAUCUUUUGACCCAAUUUCUCCAGAGUCUGGAAAUACCCCAUAUGUGGAUGUAACGUGCUGUACGGUCGCACAACAAGGUUCAGGAGGGACGGAGCAACUUAGGAGAGAGGAUUUGGCUGGAAUUUAAGUCAGGGGCCAUGUCGCCUCAACAAAGCUCCCAUGGUGCCAGAACAGUGGAAACUUUUAUUACAUACGACACCAUUUUGAAAACUACACCCCUCAAGAAAAGUA
Molecule: long non-coding RNA, 461 nt
Organism: Hyla sarda
Lineage: Eukaryota; Metazoa; Chordata; Amphibia; Anura; Hylidae
Exons: 3
Source: RefSeq, a predicted model, not a curated record